RNAcentral lists this long non-coding RNA (3266 nucleotides) under Oryza sativa (Asian cultivated rice). RNAcentral's name for it is "long non-coding RNA (OSAT_LNC000001)". Lineage: Eukaryota; Viridiplantae; Streptophyta; Magnoliopsida; Poales; Poaceae. The record is from RNAcentral.
CCGGUAUGAAAGCACUUCACACAUGCUUUCCACCAUUAUUUUCAUGUUACUACCACCAUUGGUAUAACCUCUUUAAAAUAAUAUGCAACGUGUACAGAAAGUUCAUUACCAUAUGCAUUUCCCACUUGAUGUAAUUUCAAAUUGCUGUGUUCCACUUUUGGGCCAUAUAUCUGGCAGUAAUUCAAACAAAUAUAGUUUUGCCAGGAGUUCUAGCUAACGUCUCUUCCCGGUCCUUGAGAUCACAUCCGCUUGGUUUUGCAUGUCCUAUUGUUUGAAACUUGCUGCCUAUUAGAACCUCCUUAGUUCUCUCAAUACUUUUACUUUUAUUACUGCCAUAUUAAUUAUCUUGUUGCUGAGUCCUGUUUUGAUGAUUAUGCACAAAGUAUUCAGUUGUUAUGGUACCUAAAUGAGUAGUUUGCUUGCUGGCGUAUCACAUGACGUAAAAUACUUCUCUUCAUCAACUGUUGCAAUCUUUUUAACAUAGCAGUUGCUUUGCAAAAAAUAAUAUGUAAGUUUUGCAUGGUAGGAAGAACUGUUAAUGUAUAAUCCAUAGACCUGGAAUAAGCUUGCUACUACAUAGAGAUUAAGAAAUUAAGUCAAUAAAAAGGGAAAAAAAACUUGCUAUUACAUACAGAUCAAGAAAUUAAGUCAAAAAAUGGAGAAUAAAAGAAUGGUACCUUCAGUGUGGCCAAAUUGAAAGGUUGGAUGUGAUAGUAUGCCAAGAUUGUUAGGUUUACAUAGAAUCUUUCGUGAGAACCAUUGCCAUUGUAAGAUCAUCCACAAAGAAUACCAUCAAUGCAUAUGUAUUAUCAUCCUGUGUACAAAAAUAGCGGGCAACAAAUUAACCAAUAAAAACCUGCUCAUAGCAUAAACAGCUAAACCUAAAUAGGACCACAUAUAUCAUUCAUGUUGAACUAAUAAUGAGCAGCAAACCAAGAACAGGGAGGAUCAGUGGCUAGAUCAAAUAGGUACACUUGCAUAUAGUAGAUGGAAAUCAUAGUACAACACAAAGGGAAAAAUCGUUCAUUGCUUUAAGUAGAACUGCAUACCAAAUAGGGUUUAGCCGAGUCGUCGCCAUACGUUGGUAUAGUCAUGGCUUGUUAUUGUUGUCCUAGUCGUGGCCGAGCCGCCGCUCUCAAUCUCUCUUGUCGUCCCUGGCGUCCUAGCCAUCACUCGGAUCUGGCACUUAAUGGAGUGGAGAGCGAUUAGAAGAGGGCGAGGGCAAGGGCGAGGGAGGCGAUGGUGGGGUGGAGAUGGAAGAGGAGAAGAUGGUGGCGGCGACUCGUGUCCCUCGCUUCCCUGUCGCCAGAUCCACCGGUGACUUAUGCGACGGCCUCUCUCGGAGAGAGCGGCGGAGGCGCGGUGAAGAUGGCUGGAGGAGGGUGAGGAGGCACGCGGGUGAGGAUGGGUGGCGGCGCUAGUUGUGACGACGCGGGUGAGAGGAGGAGGACGGCUAGGGUUUUGGUGCGGUGUGGUGACAUCUGCGCCGUUCAUUCCCUAUCUGACGAGCGCACGGUUUAGGAAGCCACAAAGGGACACGUGGGUUUGUCAGGUCGACGUUAGUGCGAGAUCCAACGGACGACAGCAAUGGGGCCUGGCACGUAAUUAACAGAACUGCGGGGGCAUUUUUUGCAAAAGUGAUAGCUGACGUGGCAUCCCUACUUCCAGCAAUCCCACGGCAUUUAGAGAGAUUAAUAUAUCCAGCGGUCCAAAACCAAAUUGGUGUGUUGGCUGGUUAAGAGUGAGUGCAACUUCUAUACAGUCGCAUGUGCCUGUUAAAUAUAGUUGUUAGUGCUCUACUUGAAAAAGUUGCUGUUAUUUGUUUAAAUCUUAUGCUUUAGCUGGAAAACAGUAUAAUCUCUAAAGCAGCAUCGGCAUUUUCGAAGAGCUUAACAUUUGGUUGAUUAUAUGCAGCUUGACGCAUGUGCACAUCCCUUCUUUGAUGAGCUACGAGAGCCCAAUGCACACCUGCCAUGGCAAAUGGUCGUCCAUUCCCUCCUCUGUUCAACUUCAAGCAUGAAGUAAGUAAACGAGAACAUUUUCGAACAGUCGCUUUUUAUGUUACAUUUAUAUUUACCUGUCAUGGAUGCUUAUCAAUGCUCAUUUCUGCAAUGCAGCUAGCUGGCGCCUCUCCAGAACUCGUCCACAGAUUCAUACCGUACCAUAUCAGACGGCAACAUGGCCUCAACUUGCGCAUGCUGGGAGUUAGAAUGGCACCGUUUUGUUCGUUUAUUUUUCCAUGAGCUGGACAUUGCAAUCCUAGAUGACUCCAUUGUCUUGGACUUGGGACUCCAUCUCAGAUUGCACCAUCCAUGAUUCUUCCAUGAUCUAUCCAUCCGUCCAGCCAUUUCAGCAAGGACUCAGUACCAGAGAAGUACAAUUAUGUAAAUUAUCUAGCCAUGGAGAAAUGCGUGCUGCUGCUGCUGGUGUUAAGUACGUGACGGGGUAUGCUGGUUGAGUAGUAGGUAAGGUUAAGGAUAAAUGUAGUUGGUGGAGACUGAGAGACAUGUUAAGCUAGGGGAAGCUUUCUUUUUUUCUCCUUUCAUUUUGGUUUCUUCCCAUUUUGUGAUCUUAGCAUUGCCCUACAGUAGUGUAGCUGCUCCCUGUUUUUGUUUGCUCUUUCAUCAUGUAAAUGCCAAUCCCAAUCCCAAUCGCAAUGAACCCUCUUCCUUUACAUCCUGGUCUACUCCCUGUGAGUCUUAGGUCUGUGAGUUUGUGCUGCUGGUUCUCCAUUCAAGGUGCCUUGGGUGUGCGUUCUGAUCGAUUUGGCGUGACGUGUUUGUUUCCACAGGGAAGGACUGCAAGGAGAAGCACCCUAACGUCAAGCAGGUAUCUUGUGGCGCAUUUGGGUUGCUCUGCUGCGUUAACUGCUACAAUGUGUGUUCUGACUUGGUUGAUUUGGUGGUGACAAGUGCAAGUCCAUGUCUGAUGCUGUGAGUUCCUCACUUCCUGUGCCCAUGUUCUGAACCGUUCCAUAUGCAUUUCUCACUUGAUGUAAUUUCAAAUUUUGGGCCAUAUAUCUGGUAGUUUUGGGCCAUAUAUCUGGUAGUAAUUCAAACAAAUAUAGUUUUACCUGGAGUUCUAGCUAACAUCUCUUCCCGAUCCUUGAGAUCACAUCCGUUUGGUUCUGCAUGUCCUAUUGUUUGAAACUUGCUGCCUAUUAGAACCUCCUUAGUUGUCUCAAUACUUUUACUUUUAUUACUGCCAUAUUAAUUAUCUUGUUGCUGAGUCCUGUUUUGAUGAUUAUGCACAAAGUAUCCAGUUGU